GGGAGAGAUGGGGGCCGCCAAGAUCCAAAUGUUAUCGGGCGAAGUCACGCCUUUCUAUAGCUACCCUUGGAAUAGUAGAUGCAUGCACCUUGUAUCAAUAGAAACCUUGGCAUUCUUGGCCUGUCGUGCCAAUGAUUGUUCUACUUUCAGAGUUGGGGUUUGCAAGGAAGGUUGGUACUAUCGCUGCAUUGGAGUUGAUUCUUAGACAUUUGCUGUGUUCUGUUUGCUCUGCUCUCCUCUCCUUUGUCUUGAUUUGCACUUUCUAGCAUUUACAGUGUUGACAUGAGCCUGUUUGUUGUGAGGAGGCACAGCUAUCAGGAGGAGCCGUAUCAUUAUCAUCGUAACUAUUUAGUGAGGUUUUCUGACCUAAAAAUGGUGAAGUAGGGAAUGUCAAAACUGAGCUCUUUGGUCUCUGUUUCAAGCACGACAAACCCUAACCUAAAGAAAUCCAGCCCUACAAAGAGGGAUUUUAAGAAUAAAACGACAAACCCUAAAAGAUUUCCUCAGUUGAAAUCAUUGCCCAACGUUCCACCUGGAGCCCCAUCUGUAAGUAGGACUGCUCGUCAAUUCCCCAAGUCGUCGUUGGCUUCCAUGUUUAAAAAGAAUCAGGGACACGUUCCAAUCUUCCCACGCAUCUUUGGCCAUGAGGCAACAAGGAUUAUUCAAAGUGUUGGAGAAGGUGUAAUUGAUCGACGUGAGGAUGAUUGUGUGCUUACCUUUUUCACCAGGGAGUGCAAGGAGUGUAUGCAUUCUAAAUCUGACAAAAGAAACAUGUCUGAAACAUUAAGAAUGGUAAGAAAAGGUGUCAUGCAUGGUGAUCAGAAAACCCAUUUUUCUGUAAAUGGCAAGCCUAUCUCUCACUUUUGUGCAGUUUCAAGCUUUAGCGAGUACGCUGUUGUGCACUCUGGGUACAUUGUUAAACUGAGCUCGUAUGUUCCCUUUGGAAAAAUAUGUGUCCUCGGCUGUGGCAUUGCAACAGAUAAUUCUCCAAUAGGGCACGAUAUACAGGCUGUUGGAAGAAGCCCACACAAGAUGAUUGAAGCUGCAAUGCAAUCAACUGCAAAGGGAAAGAUCCAAACAAUUAGGCAAGCUUACCUUUCCAAGUAUUCUUCAAAUUUAAGGGGUGACUGGAAGAGAAGAUUAUUUGUUCUUGAUAGCCGUGGAAUGUUGUAUUAUUACCGCAAACAAGACUAGCAAGCAAAUGGGCCUGUGAUGAAUGAAUAUACCAUUGCUUUGUGAGAAAUUGGGACAUUUAAAGAACUUUUUCACUCCCAGAUAUAUUGGAAAGCAUCAACGAGUAUAUUGAUGAUGCUGAAAUGAUGGAUGAAAUGACUACUAGGAGCUGUUGUGAAUUGAAACACCGGCCUGUAUGAUUUUGAUUUGUUUGGAAUUGUUUUUCAGGAUUUCUUUAUUGAAUAAUAUGCUAUAGCUUACUUCCAAGGCUGGAAAGAGUAGGUUUUAGAAUCCAUUUUAAGCGUUUGAUGAAAUUUAGUUAGCAAGAGGGCAGUUUGAAUUUGUGGACUGAUGACUUACACCUGUUUUGCAUUGAACAGGGUCACACUGAGGAUUAGAAUCAGACCAUGUAGGUGCCAAUUAAAAAACAUAAAUGUAUUAUUCAAAAUUUCGGUACAUUCUCUUUGUGUUGCUAGAGCUAUAUAGAUAUUCAAGGAAUUGAAAAGUUGAUCAAUACAAAAACACAAAAUGGUUGGCAAUGGUAACAUGUUCACAACCAUUAUUUAGACUUAAAACUCAUUGCUAAACCAAAGGGUGUUUUGAGACCCAAGAUUCUGAAUGAUAAAAUUAUUCUUAAAGGAUGCUAGCUCAACGGAAGAGUACCUGCUUUACAAGCAAGAGGAUGGUGGUUCAAUUCCAUCGUGCCCUA
Cryptomeria japonica (Japanese cedar) is the source of this 1882-nucleotide RNA transcript. It is a transcript of the gene named alcohol dehydrogenase-like 6, with no coding region annotated. The record is from RefSeq and is a predicted model, not a curated record. The transcript has 7 exons. Lineage: Eukaryota; Viridiplantae; Streptophyta; Pinopsida; Cupressales; Cupressaceae.